AUGUGCAUUGACUCCGCUUUAAAGCAAAUAAAAGGUAUAACACAAUAUUUUGAAAAGUACAGAGAUGAGGAGUUUUCUUCAAGUUUGAGCAUCGCUAAAGUUAUUGCAAUUGAAAUGGGAAUAUAGCCAUAUUUUCCAGUGAAACGUCGUGCUAAGAGGAAGAAACAGUAGGACGAAAGUGAUUGUCAAGAAGAAAUUCUAGAAGCUGAGAAGGCUUUCCGAGUUAAGUAUUUUAAUGCUUUGGUUGAUGUGGCAAUCACUUCUUUGAAUGACAGAUUUAAAGAACUCAUGGUGUUUAAGGAUAUAUUCGGAUUUUUAUUGAGCUCGGGCACCCUGAAGUCAUUAAGUGACAAUGAACUUGAAGAGUGUUGCACAAAAUUUGCAGAAACUUUCUCUCUUAAUGGUUCAUCUGAUGUUGAGGUAUACGAUCUUAUUUCUGAAUUGAAUAUUAUGAUAUUCACUUUGCCAGAUGGCGUAAUGUGUGCUAUGGAGAUUUUCGGGCAUGUCAGAGAAGUUGAUUGCUAUCCAAAUAUCUCCAUUGCCUAUCGCGUCUUAUUUAAUGUGCUUGUGACGGUCGUAUAGGCCGAAAGAACCUUUUUGAAGUUGAAAUUAUUGAAGAAUUAUCUGGGGUCUACAAUGACUCAAAAGAGGUUAAAUGGUUUGGCUACGUUAUGCAUCGAGAAGAAAUUAUUAGAUGAAACUGACAUCGACCCCAUCAUAAGUGACUUUGCAUCGAGGAAUGUUAGAAGAAAUUUUUAA
This 759-nucleotide ribosomal RNA is filed under the name Triticum aestivum (bread wheat). RNAcentral's name for it is "partial small subunit ribosomal RNA". Lineage: Eukaryota; Viridiplantae; Streptophyta; Magnoliopsida; Poales; Poaceae. The record is from RNAcentral.